GUACCGCGGCUGCUGGCACGAAGUUAGCCGGUGCUUCCUUUGAAGGUACCUUCAAAUGUAAGGCCUAUUGGACCCUACACCAUUAUUCCCUUCUGACAGAGCUUUACAACCCGAAGGCCUUCCUCACUCACUCGGCAUUGCUGCGUCAGGGUUUCCCCCAUUGCGCAAUAUUCCCCACUGCUGCCUCCCGUAGGAGUCUGGACCGUGUCUCAGUUCCAGUGUGACUGAUCAUCCUCUCAGACCAGCUAAGCAUCGUAGUCAUGGUAGGCCAUUACCCCACCAUCAAACUAAUGCUACGCAGGCUCAUCAUUUGGUAAAUGCUUCCAAGGAGAGGCAUUCUUUCUACUGCUACUUUCAAAAUUGCAGUACGUAUGCGGUAUUAGCCAGAAUUUCUCCUGGUUAUCCCCCGCCAAAUGGUAGAUCACCUACGCGUUACUCACCCGUGCGCCACUCUACUCACACCCGAAGGUGCUUUCUCGUACGACUUGCAUGUGUUAGGCAUGCCGACAGCGUUCGUUCUGAGCCAUGAUCAAACUC
This 537-nucleotide ribosomal RNA is filed under the name uncultured delta proteobacterium. Its description in RNAcentral is "partial 16S ribosomal RNA". Lineage: Bacteria; Deltaproteobacteria. The record is from RNAcentral.